UUUCGCCCUUGUUGCCCAGGCUGGAGUGCAAUGGCGCCAUCUCAGCUCACUGCAACCUCCACCUCCCGGGUUCAACCAAUUCUGCCUCAGUCUCCCAAGUAGCUGGAAUUAGAGGUGCCCGCCACCAUGCCUGGCUAAUUUUUAUAUUUUUAGUAGAGACGGGGUUUCACCAUGUUGGCCAGGCUGGUCUUGAACUGCUGACCUCAAGUGGUCCACCCGCCUCGGCCUCCCAAAGUGCUGGGAUUACAGGCAUGAGCCACUGCUCCCGACCUGCAAUUCUUGCUAUGAGUUAAUAAAGGGAUCCAGUAACUGCUCCCAGGGAAAGGAUAUCAGCACCUGAACCUAGUCCCAACUGGAGAAUCCUGCCUAAAUUGACAUAGGAUUUAUAAAGUUUAAAUGGGAAUUAGAAGACAAGAAAGGAAAAUAUGAUGUAAUGUUCUGUCCUCUCAAGGGCUUCAGUUGCCCUUUGUGAAAAUAAGACUGUGGGGGAUCAUGCAGAAGAGGGAGCAAAGGACAAUCCCCUAGAUGGACAAGAGAGUGCAUGACUGUGAGGAAGAGGUUCACCGAGGCUCAGCUGCGAUUGAUUCCCCCACGCUCAUCUCAAACUCUCUUAAGCAAACUUUCAGCCCCAGAUGCUUACACAGAGAUAUUUUUCAGCCUCGAUUCACU
Molecule: long non-coding RNA, 669 nt
Filed under: Homo sapiens (human)
Lineage: Eukaryota; Metazoa; Chordata; Mammalia; Primates; Hominidae
Description: HSALNT0081460
Source: RNAcentral